This is a long non-coding RNA of Dermochelys coriacea (leatherback sea turtle), 312 nucleotides long. RefSeq lists it as uncharacterized. NCBI's taxonomy places the organism in Eukaryota, Metazoa, Chordata, Testudines, Dermochelyidae. The transcript is spliced from 3 exons. The record is from RefSeq and is a predicted model, not a curated record.
AAAGUCUGCUGUCUCUUCCUGGGAGAAGGAAGGUGUAUUUGGGGUGGCAAACCCAGAGAUGGGGGAAGCCAGGAAGGGAAGAUGUUUCAUGAUCAGUGGAACUGGAGUCAAAGGGCCCAUAUUUCCUGAGGGGCUGUUUCUGAGCAGACACCAGGAAAAUAGGGAAUGCUGGAGAAUCAGGUUCACAAGCUUCUCGAUGGCCAGAGUGGCCCAUCUUUUAUUGAAACAACAUCUCAGAAUGGGUCAGCCUGCGGCAACAUAAAAGUGAACAGCUCUCAGGAGGAGCCUAACAAUCGUUCAUUCCAAUUUUGA